AUAGACAAGUUUACCGGCCGUUUCCGCUCUACUUCCUAAACUCCUCCCCUGUAAGUAGUUCACUUCCGUUUUUGGGUUUUUCCAUUGAAAACAGUGGCAACAUUGCUCCGAAAAAGAGGGACAAAAUGGAUAUUUCUAAGAAAAAAAGUGGUUCGGGAACGACAUGUCUCGGCAGUUGGAUGUAGUAACUCUAGGAAGCACCUGAAGGAGUGGUUGGAUAGAGACUGCUGCAACCACAAACCAGCUUCAAAGAGACACGUCCAAUGCGCCGCUUUGUUUACCUUUUUUCUGAAGCCACGGACCGGGCUGAAGGCAUUACAUCUAAAAAACCACCGCGCAACAUUUUUGUUUGUUCACACCACUUUGUUGACAAAAAAACAACAAAGGAUAAUCCAUUCCCUGAGUUGUGGUUGGUUUAUAAUCGCUCUCCCCAGCCAGAGAGGAGUAAACUCAGCCGGCGGAUCCGCUGCCUCCCCCGGAGAAAAAACACGGAUCUGAGGAAGGUCCUGAAACCUGUCACCUGAGGCCGAGCCUGCUACACAAGUGAUGUUGUUCAUUAAAUAAAGAUAAACAACAAA
Molecule: long non-coding RNA, 578 nt
Organism: Cololabis saira (Pacific saury)
Lineage: Eukaryota; Metazoa; Chordata; Actinopteri; Beloniformes; Belonidae
Exons: 2
Source: RefSeq, a predicted model, not a curated record